CUCAUGUACAAGUACUCCGGGCAUUCCCGAGCUUACAUUAUUCAACAAUGCAUACCUUGGAUAUCAAUCUAGAUGCCCAAUGCUAAUUAUUCAUAAUGAUGCAAAACAUGAGGAUACAAAGAAAACAUGACUUUGUAUACAUGAGUUUUAAUGCAUCUAACGAUGCUAUCGGGAUGCUGCCUGAGAUUUUCAAAGAUUAGCCUGUUUCUAGCUGUCCAAAUAUAAUAAACAGUGUUUGCAAACGCUUAUUUCUUGGCUUUAAAUUGCCAAGAAGUCACUUUUUCCCUCAUUCUCUAUCCAUUUCAGAGCACUUGAUAAUGUAGUCAUGGCUCUAGUGAUCCAGAGCCAGGCUCUUAUCUGUCCCCAAAUUUCUGUGCUCACGCGACAUUGGAAGAAAAGAUGCUGGACGGAUUCUGUUGCAACUUGACAAAAUACGCAUCUGUUGUCGAUCUCCAUGCGUUGUAGUCGAUCUUUGCCUAGGAACUUGGUUUUCACACUAAACCAAAGUAUGAGUGGAUGUUUUGGAUUGAUGCAUGAACUCCAAACAACAUUUGACCAAAUAGUUGGCUUCCUCUUUGGUCGAAAAUAAUCAUAAGCUUUAGUAAUGCAUAUAUUGUCUCCUUGGAUCCAGCUUGAAAUUCUUUGGCAUGUAGCGUGAUUUGAUCCUUCAGUUUCUUUCAAGCAAUGCGCAAUGGACAGUAUCUUUUUGAAUAGUGGUAAGUCAUCCUUUUUAGGGGACCUUUCCCAUAUUGAUGUCCCUCUCAAAUACACGUGAUUGGUCCAUCGCAUCCAAAGUGUGUCCUUCUUAGCAUGUAUGUUCCACACCGACUUAGCUAGUAGUGCAUUGUUCCAGCGUUUUAUACCUCGCAAUCCAAGUCCACCACGCUUUUGGGGAGGCAAACUUUUGACCAUGCAACCACCAAUUUUUUGGAUUUCCAAAGAAAAUUCCUACAAAGCCAUGUGAUCCUCAUACUGACUGCAGCAGGUAUCGAGAAUAUGGAUAACCAGAAGCAUUUAACACCUUGCGAGAUUGAUCUUAUUAGUUCAGCCCUACCUGCGUAGGAUAAUGAUGAGCUCGUCUAGGCGUGUAUAUAUACAGCUAUCUUAUUGAAGAAAGAGGCAUAGUGGCUGACUUUCCAUUUUUUAGCAACUAAUGGAACCCCCAAAUAUCUUAACAGCAUGGAUCUCCUCGACAUGUUUACCAAUUCUUGGAUGUCAUCCAAGUCUUGGCC
This 1232-nucleotide long non-coding RNA is filed under the name Olea europaea subsp. europaea. The record is from RNAcentral. Lineage: Eukaryota; Viridiplantae; Streptophyta; Magnoliopsida; Lamiales; Oleaceae.